GUUGUUACUCUUAUUUCAAUUUUAUCUUAUCUGUGUAUGUAUUUGCUCAGAUGGAUUCUGUGCUAUAAACUACGGGACCGUAACAGGAAUUGCAAGGCAAUUGAGCAUCUUGCUUAUCAUUUUCUCUAACACAUCUGCAAGUUUUCAUACUUUGUGGGAGGCUGAGCUGGAAGUACAGGUUUCCAGGAUUAGAGACAGCAUGUGCAGAGGAAAGAACACUGACACUAGCAGUCAAGGUUAGUUUAGUUCAACACGUAUUUAUUGAGUACCUUCUGUAUGCACCAGAUGCCAAAGAAACAAAGGAGUGUGAGAGUGGACCCCUGCUCUCUAGGAGCUUACACUUCUGCAAGGAUGGAGAACAAGUAAACAAAGCAGGACACGUGUAAUAAUAAGAGUAUAAACAGGGAGCAGGAGGGCCAUAAGACCUGGGUUCUAGCUCUAGCUGUGUGACCCCAGACAUGUUACUUAACCUCUCUGGGCCUCGUGGACAGUGAGAAUGGGGUAGGUAAUUUCUAACCCCUGAAAUUCUCACCCCUACAAUUCUCAAAACCCUGUGAAGUAGACAAGGCAGGCACAAUUUCUACUUUAGAGAGGUGAAGCCUGAGGUCGGAGAGGCUUAGCAAUGCGGCCAGAGCUCCACACCGGCUGGUCGAUAGAGCUAGCUCCAGACUAGUCUCAGGCAGGUCUUGGGAGCCAGACCCAGAAUGUGUCCACUCCAGGCUGCCCCGACAGAGAGCGGGGAUCUCUGAUGAAGGUGGCAGGAGGCUUUCCAGAUGCCCCCAGUUUGAGUCCCAUAUGCUACCGACCAAGAAGAGAACAGAGGCAGGUACCUUGCCCACCGCCACCCUCUCCUGUAAGCACUCCCAGCAGACAGUGGGUCUUUCUGAAAACCAGGUCAUCUUUUACAGAAUGACAUGGUGACAUUAGCACGGUUAUCCUGGUGAGCCCAGGAACCUUCAGCAGCCAAGGCCAGUCAGCAGUGCCUGGUUUCCAUUCACAGCCAGGCCCCCAUCUGUGCAUGAUGCAAAGGACAUUUUGGAGGCUGGGACAGCUCGCCCUCACUGUACCUCUGGGCCGCCGCCCACCCAGCCCACCCAGUAUGUGCACGCUUAGGGAACGUGAGUGAGCUCAUCUAAUUGAAGCAAAGCACAUUAAAGAUUCAUCUUUGCUGAGCCUCUAAAACCACGCCAUGGCCACCAAAGCUUAAAAGACAAGUCUCUGACCACAGCAGCCUCUGCCAUCUCCCGCCGUGGCACACGGCUCCAGGCGCUGUGGGCAACCCCACGGUCAUGGGAACCAUCUUUGGAGCAGGUGCUAUGUGUGCCAUGAAGAGGCCAACAACACAGUCCCUAGCAUCCAGGGCUUCAUAAUCAGAUGGCAGAGCAGUCAGAUGGGGUGAAGAGAGGAGUCACAGAUGACAAGGCCAGGAGACUGGUCCUAAGUGCUGGAGGUUUUGGGGAAGGGAGUGGCCACUGAGAGCUGCUACUGCCUGGGGAGGCGUCUGAGGGUCGCUCCAGCCCGACCUUGAAGGAGGAGAAGGACAGAAGGCAUUUAUUUGCAUUACCCCCACCCUCUGUGGGUAAUUUAAAUGAAAAUCAUAUGAAGGAGACAAAAGUGUCCAGAAAAAGGAUCGCCCGUGGGCAUCCAUCGUGUUUUCCCAGGGUGGCCCCGCACCCCCACACGUACACCCUCCCAACCCUCCCUCCCCAGAGCUGGCCUCAGAGCUGGCUAGGCAAGGGAAAUGGGUGCCACACAAGUGGCUUCCCAAGGGCCCUGUGGCGUGGGGGUGGGUUCAGACCCUGCCUCCACCACCCCGCAGCUGUGUGACGUGGAGCCAGUCCCGUGACCUCUCUGAGUCUGCUCCUCACCUGUAAGCGCGGGCGGGCAGUGCGGGCCUUGCAGGGCGGAGACGGACUAAGCCGACAGACACCAGCUGACCUGGCGGCACAGCCCCGCGCGCUUAGCCAGUCCUCCCUGUCGCCCUCCAUCCCCACAGAGGCCGUCUGAGGAGCGCCUGCCGUGCGUGCUCAGCCUUCCACAGGGGCCCUGCCCGCUCCAGGGCUUCACCGAAGACCGGCCUGGGGUUUGGGUUCAAAUCCACCCAGGGAGCGGCAGCCCAGGCUCCGAGGACAGACCCAAGGGCAGGAGAGCUUAUUUGCCAGUGUGUACUUGGAAGCGGCGGAUGGCAGGCUUUGGAUAACUGAGUUAAGAGGAUUUCUUCUCAACCUCCUUUGGUCACCCGGAUCUGAGGCCCCCGCCAAGGCUAGUGCUGGGGUCUCACAAGAGAGGGUACAAGAGAGACCUCAAGAGUGGGUGCCAGAAUGACCUCAAGAGUGGGUGCCAGAAUGACCUCAAGAGAGGGUGCCAGAAUGACCUCAAGAGUGGGUGCCAGAAUGACCUCAAGAGUGGGUGCCAGGCAGGACUACCUCAGUGCCAGAGAAGCCGACCUAAAGGCCCAAUGGUUGGCAGAUGGUCAGCACGCUGGGGACCCCAGCCUCCAGGGCUCUCCCAGGUUCUGGGAGCAGGAAGCUUCCAGAAGAGGGGAGAGAGAGACAGAAAGUGCAAGACUUCUCAGCAGCUCUCAGGACAGAUCUGGGAUGAAGGCGGGAAAAGGACAGAGAAGAAAAAGGAAGAGACAAUGAGGACGAAAAGGGGGUGCAAAAUGAAGGGCACAGGAGCCAGGGCAAAGGAGGGAAGGAGCUGACAGGAUGCUCACCUCCCGGAGGCUAAGCCCUAAGCCCGCCUUAAAUGGGAAGGUGGCUGAUCGCCAGCUUCCGGACAUGGAGGAGGGCUGGAGGUCUUGGGUGCCUCCUACUUCUCCUGCCUUGGGGACCCUCCUGCCUCAUCAUCAU
Zalophus californianus (California sea lion) is the source of this 2852-nucleotide long non-coding RNA. RefSeq lists it as uncharacterized. The record is from RefSeq and is a predicted model, not a curated record. The transcript is spliced from 3 exons. NCBI's taxonomy places the organism in Eukaryota, Metazoa, Chordata, Mammalia, Carnivora, Otariidae.